AGAGUUUGAUACCUGGCUCAGAACGAACGCUGGCGGCGUGCCUAACACAUGCAAGUCGAACGUGAAAGUCCUUCGGGAUGAGUAAAGUGGCGCACGGGUGAGUAAUGCGUAGAUAAUCUGCCUGAUGAUCUGGGAUAACAUCUCGAAAGGGGUGCUAAUACCGGAUAAGCCCACGGGCUCUUCGGAGCUUGCGGGAAAAGGGGGGGACCUUCGGGCCUUCUGUCAUCAGAUGAGUCUACGUACCAUUAGCUAGUUGGUAGGGUAAAGGCCUACCAAGGCGACGAUGGUUAGCUGGUCUGAGAGGAUGAUCAGCCACACUGGAACUGAGACACGGUCCAGACUCCUACGGGAGGCAGCAGUGGGGAAUUUUGCGCAAUGGGGGAAACCCUGACGCAGCAACGCCGCGUGAGUGAUGAAGGCCUUCGGGUCGUAAAGCUCUGUCAGAGGGAAAGAAAUGUGGGGCGCUAAUACCGUUACCACUUGACGGUACCCUCAGAGGAAGCGCCGGCUAACUCCGUGCCAGCAGCCGCGGUAAUACGGAGGGCGCAAGCGUUAAUCGGAAUCACUGGGCGUAAAGCGUGCGUAGGCUGUCUGAUAAGUCAGGCGUGAAAUCCCUCGGCUCAACCGGGGAACUGCGUUUGAUACUGUCGGACUUGAGUCCUGGAGAGGGUGGCGGAAUUCCUGGUGUAGGAGUGAAAUCCGUAGAUAUCAGGAGGAACACCGGUGGCGAAGGCGGCCACCUGGACAGGUACUGACGNUGAGGCACGAAAGCGUGGGGAGCAAACAGGAUUAGAUACCCUGGUAGUCCACGCGGUAAACGAUGUGAUGCUAGGUGUCGGGGAGCGUAUCUUCGGCGCCGCAGCUAACGCAUUAAGCAUCCCGCCUGGGGAGUACGGUCGCAAGGCUGAAACUCAAGAUGAAUUGACGGU
This 929-nucleotide ribosomal RNA is filed under the name uncultured delta proteobacterium. RNAcentral describes it as "bacterial SSU rRNA". It matches the Rfam family "Bacterial small subunit ribosomal RNA", at positions 8 to 917 of the family's 1533-position model. The record is from RNAcentral. Lineage: Bacteria; Deltaproteobacteria.